This 305-nucleotide ribosomal RNA is filed under the name uncultured bacterium. RNAcentral describes it as "bacterial SSU rRNA". It matches the Rfam family "Bacterial small subunit ribosomal RNA", at positions 335 to 638 of the family's 1533-position model. The record is from RNAcentral.
UGUCCUACGGGGGGCAGCAGUGAGGAAUAUUGGUCAAUGGGCGGUAGCCUGAACCAGCCAAGUAGCGUGAAGGAUGAAGGUUCUAUGGAUUGUAAACUUCUUUUAUAAAGGAAUAAAGUGAGGCACGUGUGCCUUUUUGUAUGUACUUUAUGAAUAAGGAUCGGCUAACUCCGUGCCAGCAGCCGCGGUAACACGGAGGAUGCGAGCGUUAUCCGGAUUUAUUGGGUUUAAAGGGUGCGUAGGCGGACAGUCAAGUCAGCGGUAAAAAUGCGGUGCUCAACGCCGUACAGCCGUUGAAACUGGCA